Molecule: ribosomal RNA, 461 nt
Filed under: uncultured bacterium
Lineage: Bacteria
Description: partial 16S ribosomal RNA
Rfam family: Bacterial small subunit ribosomal RNA
Source: RNAcentral
CCUACGUGUGGCAGCAGUGAGGAAUAUUGGUCAAUGGGCGAGAGCCUGAACCAGCCAAGCCGCGUGAAGGAUGAAGGAUCUAUGGUUUGUAAACUUCUUUUAUAUGGGAGUAAAGUGAGGAACGUGUUCCUGUUUGUAUGUACCAUAUGAAUAAGCAUCGGCUAACUCCGUGCCAGCAGCCGCGGUAAUACGGAGGAUGCGAGCGUUAUCCGGAUUUAUUGGGUUUAAAGGGUGCGUAGGCUGUGAGGUAAGUCAGAGGUGAAAUGCCCCCGCCCAACGGGGUGAAGUGCCAUUGAUACUGCCUGGCUGGAGUGCGGUUGCGGUAGGCGGAAUGUGUGGUGUAGCGGUGAAAUGCAUAGAUAUCACACAGAACACCGAUUGCGAAGGCAGCUCACGAAUCCGCGAUUGACGCUGAUGCACGAAAGCGUGGGUAUCAAACAGGAUUAGAUACCCGGGUAGUC